GCGCACAUCCAGCUCUUUUCUGCUCGGAAAAAAUACUUGGUGGACACAGAGCCUUCGUAGUUCAGCCCUGUUGGUGCAAUAGGUCCGAUAUAGCCUACUGUAGGCUAUCUUUACUGUGUUAUAGUCUAUAUUUUAUUAUAUCCCAAUGGUUUCACGAAUAUUUUCAUUGAUACAUACUUAGGCCUAUUGCCUAUACGUGAAUAGCCUAUGCCAUAAAAAUGAUUUCCCUUUAUGAUUUAAUGUUGACAUUUGAAGUGUAGGCCUAUCUAUCUUUUGCCUUCUUUCCUUCAGAACCUGCUGAAACGUCAAAUCUUGGAGAGAUUGCGAAGCAAGAUGCAAUAUGUGCUUAGCUGUCCUUGCUUGGAUCUUGAUUAUCUUCAUUUCAUGUGCACCCAUGAAUUGUUACUCCUCGAUUCAUUGGCAGAGCAGAUGGAGUUGCCAUUAGAUAUAGUCAAUGCCAUUAGAGAACUCACAAACCAGGUCAGAAGUCAGGUAGACAGUGAGCAACAUUUUAUUUCUCCCGAUAUACAGACAGUGCAAAGGGGCAAGGGGACGACCAAAAUUAAUAAUUGAGCAAGAAAAGUUACAGAUAGAUACUCAGUUGUCUAUACCAACAAUUUCAAAACUGUUGGGAGUCAGUCAAGCUACAUUAUUCCGGCGAAUGGCAGAAUUUUGGAUUUCUGUGACAGGGUCCUACAGCACAAUGUCAGACCAGGAGCUUGACACCUUAGUGUCUAACAUUAAAGCUGAAAUGCCAAAUAUUGGCUUCAGAUUGGUAAUGGGAAGACUGAGAUCCUUAGGCCACAGGGUACAGUGGAACAGAAUGAAAGCAGCUAUGCAUAGAGUAGAUGCAGCUGGGAUUCUUGUGCGCUUGACACAGUUAGGCUGUGUUGUGUGAAGAAGCUACUCUUUAAGAGCCCGCCUAUCUCUUGUGCAUGUGGAUACUAACCACAAACUCAUAAGGUAAGUUGCUUUCACAUGAAGUUGUCAAAUGAAUGAAUCAUCUGUAACAAAUGCAUACAAUAUACUAAAUUUGACUUUCUCCUAUAUAGGUACAACAUACUCAUUUUUGGGGGCAUAGAUGGCUUUUCCAGAAAGGUCAUGUACCUAGAACCUGCCAACAAUAAUAGUUCAUCUACUGGCCUCGCUUUCUUCCUGACCUCCUGUGAUAAGAACGGUUUGCCCUCAAGGAUCAGAGGUGAUCAGGGUGUGGAGAAAAA
Molecule: long non-coding RNA, 1220 nt
Organism: Labrus mixtus (cuckoo wrasse)
Lineage: Eukaryota; Metazoa; Chordata; Actinopteri; Labriformes; Labridae
Exons: 3
Source: RefSeq, a predicted model, not a curated record